AUUGAACGCUGGCGGCAUGCCUUACACAUGCAAGUCGAACGGUAACAGGUCUUCGGAUGCUGACGAGUGGCAAACGGGUGAGUAAUACAUCGGAACGUGCCCGAUCGUGGGGGAUAACGGAGCGAAAGCUUUGCUAAUACCGCAUACGAUCUACGGAUGAAAGCGGGGGAUCGCAAGACCUCGCGCGUUUGGAGCGGCCGAUGGCAGAUUAGGUAGUUGGUGGGGUAAAGGCUUACCAAGCCUGCGAUCUGUAGCUGGUCUGAGAGGACGACCAGCCACACUGGGACUGAGACACGGCCCAGACUCCUACGGGAGGCAGCAGUGGGGAAUUUUGGACAAUGGGCGAAAGCCUGAUCCAGCCAUUCCGCGUGCAGGAUGAAGGCCCUCGGGUUGUAAACUGCUUUUGUACGGAACGAAAAGCUCCUGGCUAAUAUCCGGGAGCCAUGACGGUACCGUAAGAAUAAGCACCGGCUAACUACGUGCCAGCAGCCGCGGU
This 496-nucleotide ribosomal RNA is filed under the name uncultured bacterium. Its description in RNAcentral is "bacterial SSU rRNA". It matches the Rfam family "Bacterial small subunit ribosomal RNA", at positions 30 to 521 of the family's 1533-position model. The record is from RNAcentral.